Molecule: ribosomal RNA, 397 nt
Filed under: uncultured bacterium
Lineage: Bacteria
Description: partial 16S ribosomal RNA
Rfam family: Bacterial small subunit ribosomal RNA
Source: RNAcentral
GAAUAUUGCGCAAUGGGGGCAACCCUGACGCAGCAACGCCGCGUGCGGGAUGAAGGCCUUCGGGUUGUAAACCGCUUUCAGCAGGGAGGAUAGUGACAGUACCUGCACAAGAAGCCCCGGCUAACUACGUGCCAGCAGCCGCGGUAACACGUAGGGGGCGAGCGUUAUCCGGAUUCAUUGGGCGUAAAGCGCGCGCAGGCGGCCGCCUAAGCGGGACCUCUAAUCCCGGGGCUCAACCCCGGGCCGGGUCCCGAACUGGGCGGCUCGGGUGCGGUAGAGGAGGGCGGAAUUCCCGGUGUAGCGGUGGAAUGCGCAGAUAUCGGGAAGAACACCGAUGGCGAAGGCAGCCCUCUGGGCCGUCACCGACGCUGAGGCGCGAAAGCUAGGGGAGCGAACA